UGUGUAGGCGGUGUUCCAAGUCUGGUGUGAAAUCUCCCGGCUUAACUGGGAGGGUGCGCUAGAAACUGGAAUGCUAGAGGAUGGGAGAGGUAAGCGGAAUUCCUGGUGUAGCGGUGAAAUGCGUAGAUAUCAGGAGGAACACCUGUGGUGUAGACAGCUUACUGGACCAUUUCUGACGCUGAGACACGAAAGCGUGGUAGCAAACA
This 206-nucleotide ribosomal RNA is filed under the name uncultured bacterium. Its description in RNAcentral is "partial 16S ribosomal RNA". It matches the Rfam family "Bacterial small subunit ribosomal RNA", at positions 568 to 774 of the family's 1533-position model. The record is from RNAcentral.